CCAUCGGUGGUUCAGUGGUAGAAUUCUCGCCUGCCACGCGGGCGGCCCGGGUUCGAUUCUCGGCCGAUGCA
This 71-nucleotide transfer RNA is filed under the name Cordylochernes scorpioides. RNAcentral describes it as "tRNA-Gly". It matches the Rfam family "tRNA". From Rfam's summary of the family: Transfer RNA (tRNA) molecules are approximately 80 nucleotides in length. Their secondary structure includes four short double-helical elements and three loops (D, anti-codon, and T loops). Further hydrogen bonds mediate the characteristic L-shaped molecular structure. tRNAs have two regions of fundamental functional importance: the anti-codon, which is responsible for specific mRNA codon recognition, and the 3' end, to which the tRNAs corresponding amino acid is attached (by aminoacyl-tRNA synthetases). tRNAs cope with the degeneracy of the genetic code in two manners: having more than one tRNA (with a specific anti-codon) for a particular amino acid; and 'wobble' base-pairing, i.e. permitting non-standard base-pairing at the 3rd anti-codon position. The record is from RNAcentral. Lineage: Eukaryota; Metazoa; Arthropoda; Arachnida; Pseudoscorpiones; Chernetidae.